This 73-nucleotide transfer RNA is filed under the name Parcubacteria bacterium C7867-007. RNAcentral describes it as "tRNA-Val". It matches the Rfam family "tRNA". From Rfam's summary of the family: Transfer RNA (tRNA) molecules are approximately 80 nucleotides in length. The record is from RNAcentral. RNAcentral also lists the same sequence under 1 other name. Lineage: Bacteria; Candidatus Parcubacteria.
GCGGGCUUAGCUCAGUUGGUAGAGCACUCGAUUUACACUCGAAUGGUCGGGGGUUCAAGUCCCUCAGCCCGCA